Molecule: ribosomal RNA, 468 nt
Filed under: uncultured bacterium
Lineage: Bacteria
Description: partial 16S ribosomal RNA
Rfam family: Bacterial small subunit ribosomal RNA
Source: RNAcentral
GACGAACGCUGGCGGCGUGCUUAACACAUGCAAGUCGAACGGAAAGGCCCUGCGUUUGUGGGGUGCUCGAGAGGCGAACGGGGGAGUAACACGUGAGUAACCUGCCCUUGACUUUGGGAUAACAUCAGGAAACUGGGGCUAAUACCGGAUAGGAGCUCCUGCUGCAUGGUGGUGGUUGGAAAGUUUCGGCGGUUGGGGAUGGACUCGCGGCUUAUCAGCUUGUUGGUGGGGUAGUGGCUUACCACGGCUUUGACGGGUAGGCGGCCUGAGAGGGUGAACGGCCACCUUGGUCCUGCGAUACGGCCCAGACUCCUACGGGCGGCAGCGGUGGGAAGUCUUACGCAGCGGGCGGAAGCCUGAUGCAGCAACGCCGCGUGCGUGAUGCCGGCCUUCGGGUUGUGAACCACUUUCUCCUGUGCCGAGGCGUGAUUGACGGUAAUGGGUCAAGAAGCCCCGGCUAACUACGUG